UCCCUGUGUUUGGCUAGCUAGUAGUAAGAAGACAGUCUGAGAACUCAAAGAAGCCUUCGGCGGGUCAGAAUAUGCAUAAGGGAACUCAACGACUCUUUUAAGAAUUGGAUAAGAAUUGGCUAAAUCAGUUGUCGGCUUGGAAUCUAUUGAAACGAAUGGGUGCCAAAUUUUUUGUUGGGUGGUUGCUGACUGUAAGGGUUUUCUGCUUCUGUGGCUAUUGGCUGCAACUUUGAAGUAGCGUUUUCUCAACUUCUGGUGCUUGGAGUGCUGAGAUAUUUUGGGGUUCUUAGUUGUUGGUCAUACCGUGCCUUUGAUCCGAGUUGGUGCUUGAUCUGCCCUGUAAAUAGGAAACUACUGGUGGUUACUAAAUGCUGUUAUCUAGUUUCUAUUCUGUUGGGUUGAUGAAAUGUGAAUUCUGGUAAUUGGUUCAAGUUGAUUCUUACAUAUUGUGUUUAAUAUGAUGGUUCUUUAUGAUGAUUGGAGAAUUUGAUGUUUGUUAUGCUGUAUGGUUGUGAAGUUAUAGCUUUUUUUUCUAAUUUUGGAGCUCAGUUUCUUUCCUUAUUCACUUGCCCAAACCCUUAUAUCCAACCAUUGAAUUGGAAUAGAACUUUCAGGUUUGAAGUACUAGUGGAGACCUAGUUUCUGUAGUAAUUUGGGACUGAUCUAAGUUCUAUUUUUGGGAGUUGUUGAAGAUCUCCUACUGUUGUUUUGAGUUCCUAUGAUUCUGCUUACGGGUGGGACUUUCAAAUUUACUUUGGUGCUAGAUUUAAAUCCGCUAAAACCACUUCAAAAACUCAAAAUUUUCCUUCAAUUGUGUAUGUUCCUAUCCUUACUCUCAAAAUAUGAAUCUUGCUGCUGUUUUGAGUUCCUAUGAUUCUGCUUGUGUGUGGGAUUUUCAAAUUUACUAUGGUGUUAGAUUUGGAUCCAUUAAAACCACUUGAGAAAACUAAAAAAUUCCAUUCAAUCUUGUAUGUAGCUAUCCUUACUCUCAAAAUAUGAAUUGUACUGCUGCUAAAACUUCCCUAGCGAGAACGUGUGUCUCAGUUGGAAGUUGAAACAGUAAAGAAAGAGAUUGAGAUAUCCUUAUAGUGAUCAUAAUAGGGCUCCCCACUAGAAAAAAAGGGGAAAAAAAGAGAACAAGGUGGGAGUGCAAUGACUGCUGAAAAUUCAAACUCUGAUCAAAAGAAGGUAAGAAGGGGGAAAUCAAAUUAAAAUAAUAUGAGAAAGGCAUUUCAGUUCAAUUUCUUUGUUCAUCACAUCUGCUCUUUAGCGUGUUUCGUUAGUUUUCUUUUCUUGGAUUGUCAGUAGAGAGAUUAUUGUUUGAGAUCUAGGUUCUGGAGAGACGAUAAUGGCAGAACAGAAGAAAUGGAGCUGGGAGGUCCCUGGAUUCGAACCUUAAAAGUCAUUUGGGUGUCAAGAUCAUAAGCCUGUUCCUCUGAUUAGGAGGUUCUCGAUUUCAACAUCAUUGAUUCUGUCACAGUCUGACUCCCCAAAGAAAGUUUUAGCUACCAAAGUCUAGAAAUUGAAGGCAAAAGUGGAGGAAAACACUUGUUUAUGAUUCUUCUGUGUAUCUUAUGGAGGGAUUUAGUUGUGUUGUUGUGGUAGUCAUCCAACUAUCCAAGUAGGUUACUGUCUGAGAGAUUUUUUUUUCUGUCACAAGUGAGUUCUGUUGUUUCUUGUGGCUUGAGAGGAAGAACAUAUUUGCUCGGUGUGAAAGUUUUGAAGUAACAUUGAUAGUGCCUGCAAUGGACAAUGUGAGAUGCUCUCUACAUUGAGUAGCUGGUGUUGAGGAUUAUUGGCUAUUACAAGGUAGACAGGCUUAGCUUGUGAAUGAUUGAAUGCUGUUGCCGUUUCGGCUGAUGGAAACAGUAAUCGUUUUAUCUUGUGAACACUUACUGGAGUUGAUGGAGAAAUAAGGGACUUGCUAGAAUAAGCUGAUCUGCUGUUGAAAAGCAGAAUCUUGAUGAACAGGACCAGUAGGAAAAUGGAGAAGAAUGAAAAUACAAGAAUUAUGCAAAUAUUGGCAGUUCUAUAUUGCCAUACUGAUUUAAUGUUGUCAUUACAUCUUCCAACGUGUUUAACUAAAUGACUUGUUUCUCAGAUUUACAGCAGUUUUACAUUUAGCAUGUUAAUAUAUUGGCAAGAGCAAUUUUGAUUUUUACAAAAAAACCUUGAUAACUAAAUUCUGUUACCUCUGUUUGAAUCUCAUGAUUAUUCUGCGUUAUAAAAAUUAAUAAGUACUAAAUUUUGUUACCAAACCAAUUGUUGGAACUUUUCUAAUGGUUCUUCGGCAUCUUCCCUUACACCUGGAAAGUGGUAUAUUUUGGAUGCAUUCCCUUUGUAGACUAUUCUUUAGUUUGUUAACUUAGUGGCUUAGCAUAUUGAACUCUGCAAAAGUGGUUGAUUAUUAGAUAUUGCAUUAUUGUCUGAUGUUUGGUUAAUUAUGGAAGUCAUCUGGGGUGAGUUUCAAUACGUUCAUGUGAAGAAUGACAUUAGUAAUGUCUAUAUGGGGAUAUUUUUCCUUAUAAAUAUUGCAUUCAGUGUAUUGCUUGGUUCAAUUAUCUUAAGAUCUUGGAAAGUGGAAACUUAGUUUGAAUUUUUGAAGCUUUAGGUUUAUAGUAUUUAGAGGGCGAGCCUUGGUGCAAUGGUACUGUUGGUCUAUUGCCAUCUGGUGGUAGCGGGUUCAAGUCUAGGAAACAGCCUCUGCGCGAAGCCGGGGUAAUGCUUUGUAUGUCUACCCCUUCCCAGACCCUACAGUAGCGGGAGCCACAUGCAUUGGGACCCUUUUUAUGCUUCUAUUAUUUCCACUAUGUCAUUCUGAUUUUCCUUCUGAAUCAUUGCUUAUUUUUAGUGAUUGGUCCCUCCAUAUUUGAAUUGAUGACGAUCACUUUUUUAUAUUAAUGUGUCUGCUUCAUAUUUUUGCAUUAUCGACACAUUGUAUUUUCUGUUGAAUCUGAAGGUACCUAUUUAUCUCACAUAUUUUCUUCUCUUAGCAGUUAUGGUCUUAAUUGUUAUCUUGUAUUUGGGUGAUUUUAAAGUUGACCUAUGCAUAAGUGCUACCUCAUUUUAGAUUAAGUUGCGCUUGAGGCUGAAGCUAGAAUUUCGCCACUGGUCGAUACGAAGAAAAGGGUGUUCAAUGACCUGUUUAUUGCUAAAGGCUACUUUUAAUGGAUAUGGUGCACUGAAGAUGAAGGCCCAUUAAUAGUUGAGUUUACCUAAUGAUUUCACCAUCCGUAUUAGCACUGGUCUUGAUUCUUUCUCCAACUAAAAGAAGGAAUUCGAAUUUGAUAGGGUGUAUGGACCGCAUGUUGGGCAAGGUUAGACUUGAGAGAACAUCAGUUUCUUUUUCUUCGUAACCUCUAUUUCCAUAAUUCCUCUUUUGUUUUCAACUCAAGUAUUAUCUAUGUUACUUGCAGGCUGCAGCUAAUAUAGGAUUUUCAGUAUAUUGAUUGUGUGAAAAUAUUAUGCAGGGGAGCUCUUCCAUGAUGUUCAGCCAUUUGUGCAGUCAAUUUUGCAUGGCUAUAAUGUUUUUAUAUUUGCUUAUGGGCUAACUCGUUCUGGAAAGACACAUGCCAUGGUCUCUCUUUCACUCAGUCUUGCUUUGGGUUUCCAGGGUCUCCCGGGUGCUGUUAUCUUAUGUUGUCUAUGUGUUUGAGGCAUCUAUGCCAUGCAUCUUGGCUUAUUCUGACCAAACCUGUCUUGCAGGAAGGAUCUAGUUAUGAUCGUGUUUUGUAUGUUCGAUAUUUUUACCCUUUAUUUUCAUCAACAAUCUUAUUAAAGCUAGGGUAUAAUGUGAAAAAACAAAAAUACCUAAGUCGGUUGGUUACAUUCAAAACAGCCCGCCCUCUUUAGCAGAUGUUCUUCGAUAUUUAAUAACUUUCUCUUUUUCUCAGCAAGUACUUCUUGCUCUGGUUUAAUAAAUCUUCAUCUUGCUUGGGACGCUUUUUUGAUCUUCUUAGGCAAUGUUUGAAGGGAUGUUUCGUCACUCUCAUUUGGUUUGGGACGCUAUUUUGAUCUUCUCAGGCGAUGUUUGAAGGGAUGUUUCGUCACUCACAUCUGGUUUGGGAUGCUUUUUUUUAAUCUUUUCAUGCAAUGUUUGAAGGGCUCAGUUGUUGCAAGUGGCGAUUGUAAAUAACUUUCUCUCUCUUUCUUGGCCAUCUCUCUUAGGCAACAAGCCUUAAGAGGUAAGAAUUAAGAAGAGGUUCUAUGGCAAUCCCAGAAGAGCUUAUGAAAUUCAAGUAUCAUUUCAUUGACGGAACUAUUGUUUCACUUGUAUUCCUGUUGCUUGUCCUACUUGCGCCCAGAUUUGUAGAUGUGAUCGUUUACUUUUGGCAUCUCUUCCUCUCCACAGCCAUGUUUCUCACUGUUGACGUCAUCUUUGGUUGGUUAUAUUCGAUGGAACCUGAAUUUUGCAGGGAGAAAAGAUCUUAGAUUAUGUUGCCGGACAACCGGAACAGGUGGAGGAAGUGGAAGAGGAGAGUUAGGAGACCCCAAAAUCUGAGAAAUCUGAGAGUAAAGAAAUGGGUUUCGAAUCACAAGUUUCAGAUGAGUAAAAUCAAACCCUAUUUCUCUUUUCUUUCUUUCAUACUCUGUAACUUUCUCUCUUUAUUUCCAAGCCGAUCAUACUGCUCUCUCCUUCUUGUCUGUUUCAAGAGCAUGGUUGUCCCUGUUCUUACAACAAACCUUCAUUUGGUGUGGAUCUUCUCAGUGGUUCAUCGUGAUGUUUGGAGGGCUGGUUCGUCGGUUACUGCUGGGAUUUCUCAGCCAAAGAAAUCCAGAACGAUCAACUCAAGAUCUGCUUAUGGAACGUAACAUCGAGCGUUUCUGCAAUCUCCUUUUCUUUGGACUUUACUCAUAGGAGUUCAAACAGCCCUUUCUUGAUCAAACUUUUUAUUCACCUUAAAAAAUAAAAGAUAUUCUAGAAUGUCUGUGGGGUUUUGCACGUGAUGGAUUAAUAGCCCCAAAACAGAACAUUUUCUCAUGAUUUUUUUUUUUUUUUGGUUUAUAUAAUAGGACUUGAAAACUUCCAAAGAUAACAUGAAAUGAUUAAAACCAUAUUAUACAGUUUAAUUUUAAUUUGUAUUAUGCACAUGCUCGGCCUUUGACAUUUCUUUAUUUUCUUUGCAGUCCCUAUGUUUGGCUAGCUGGUAAUAAGAAGACGGUCUAAGAACUCAAAGAAGCCGUGGGCGGGUCAGAAUAUGCAUAAGGGAACUUAACGACUCUUUUAAAAAUUGGAUAAGAAUUGGCUAAAUCAGUUGUCGGCUUGGAAUCUAUUGAAACCAAUAGGUGCCAAAUUUUUUGUUGGGUGGUUGCUGAAUGUAAGGUUUGGACUAUCAAUUAGCUGGUAUAUGAUUGGCAUCAUUCUCUCCUACAACUGUGUUCUACCUAAUGUUUACUUUUGUGCAUACAACUCAUUUUGCGGUACUAACAAAAUCUUUGGACUGAUGGUUAUGACUUGCUUCUUUGAUUUACAGCAGUUUUACAUUUUCACAUUAAUAUAUUGGCAAGAGCCAUAUUGAUUUUUACAAAAGCAUUGAGAACUAGAUUCUGUUACCUCUAUUUGAAUCUCAGGAAUAUUCUGUGUUAUGAAAAUGAUUAAGAGCUAAAUUUUGUUACCAAACCAAUUGUUGGAACUCUUCUAAUGGUUCUUCUGCAUCUCCCCUUACACCUGAAAAGUGGUAUAUUUUGGAUGCACUCCCCUUAUAGACUUUCUUUAGUUUGUUAACUUAGUGGCUUAGCAUAUUAAACUCUGCAGGAUUGGUUGAUUAUUACAUACUGCAUUAUUGUCUAAAGUGGUUUAUUAUGGAAGUCAUCUGGGGUGAGUUUCCAUACGUUCAUGUGAAGACUGACAUUGGUCAUGUCUGUAUGGGCAUAUUUUCCAUUAUAAAUAUUGCAUUCAGUGUACUGCUUAGUUCAAUUAUCUCAAGAUCUUGGAAAGUGGAAAAUUAGUUUGAAUUUUUUAAGCUUUAGGCUUCUAGUAUUUAGAGGGCGAGCCUUGGAUCAACGGUGGGGUUGUUCUAUUGCCACCAGGUGGAAGCGGGUUCAAGUCAAGGAAACAACCUCUGCGCGAAGCCGGUUUGUAUGCAUGUCCCUUCCCAGACCCUGCAGUAGCGGGAGCCUUGUGCACUGGGACCCUUUUUAUGCUUCUAUUAUUUCCACUGUGUCAUUCUGAUUUUCCUUCUGAAUCAUUCCUUAUUUUUAGUGGCUGUUCCCUCCAUAUUGCAAUUGAUGACGAUCACUUCUGUAUGUGAAUAUGUCUCUGCUUCAUAUUUUUGCAUUAUCAACAUCUUGUAUUUUCUGUUGAAUCUGAAGGUACCUAUUUAUCUCACAUAUUUUCUUCCCUUAACAAUUAUGGUCUUAAUUGUUAUCUUGUAUUGGAUUUUAAGUUUGACCUAUGCAUAAGUGCUACCCCAUUUCAGAUCGAGUUGCGCUUGAAGCUGAAGAUAGAAUUUCGCCACUGGUCAAUGAGAAGAAAAGGUUGUUCAAUGACCUGUUUACUGCUAAAGGAAAUAUAAAAGUAUUUUGCUGUACACGGCCCUAUUUGAAGAUGAAGGUUCAUCAAUAGUUGAGUUUCCUAAUGAUUUCACCAUCCGUAUUAACACUGGUGUUGAUUCUUUAUCCAAUCCAAAAAUGGACUUCGAAUUUGAUAGGGUGUAUGGAUUGCAAUGUUGGGCAAGGGGAGCUCUUCCAUGAUGUUCAGCCAUUUGUACAGUUAGCUUUGGAUGACUAUACUGUUUCUAUAUUUGCUUAUGGGCAAACUCGUUCUAGACAAACACAUACCAUGGUCCCUCUUUCACUCAGUCUUGCUUUGGCUCCCUGGAGACUCCUGGGUGCUGUUAACUUAUGUUGUCUAUGUGUUUGAGGCAUCUAUGCCAUGCAUCUUGGCUUAUUCUGACCAAACCUGUCUUGCAGGAAGGAUCUAGUUAUGAUCGUGGUCUGCAUGUUCGAAGUUUUGAGGAGCUGUUUGAUUUAUCCAACUCAGAUACAACUUCUGCUAUUCGGUUUAAUUUUUAUUUACAAUAGUUGAGCUCUACAAUGAACAGGAUUAUCACUAUUCAUAUACACUACAACAAUUAGAUCACAAGGGAAAAUUUGAACAACAAGCUUUCUCUUGUUUGGCGGGAAGUGAAGGUUUGAUGGUGGAAGAUGCUAGUGGAGAACAUGUAACGGAGUUUCUGCAUGUGACCAGUUCACUCUCAGCGUGAGUUUGUGGAACCAUGAGCUGGUAUUCCUUUCUACUCAUUGGACUCUAAUUGGUGAUUUACGCAGUGGAGAAUGCAGUCCUUAUUGGAGUGCCUCUAUUUGGAUUCUUGAAUUCUACAAAUUUCCCAAAAGAUAGUCUAAUAACGAAUACGGGCUUGGACACGGGUGGAGAUCUUACUGAUAUUUCUUGUUCUCCCUUUUUUUAAUUCAUUUAUUUUUGUACUUGCUAGAAUGGAGUCAAAAUUUGGUUUAGGUUGUUUAUCGUACUCUGUUUAAGUUGGUUUCUGCAUAUAGGCAAACUAAGGGGAAGCAGGGAGACCAUAAAAGAUUAAAUUUUAUUUUUCUGGUCUAGCUCAUGUUCAUCUGUUGCAAACAUUCCACUUUGGUUGUGGUGUUGAUUAUGAUAAGGAGAAAUGGGAGUAUGUAUGUAAAGAUUAUUAAUACCUUUGUAGGCCAUUUGGUUGUGUUGAUUAUGAUAAGGAGUAAUGGGAGUAUGCAGGUAAGACUAUUAAUACCUUUGUUGGCCAUUUUUAUUUUCAAUAGGCCUGCAUUUGUCAGUGCAAGCAAGUGCUUUGGGAAUUCAAUGUAGCCUUGAUUACUUAAAA
Macadamia integrifolia is the source of this 7808-nucleotide long non-coding RNA. RefSeq lists it as uncharacterized. The transcript has 6 exons. Lineage: Eukaryota; Viridiplantae; Streptophyta; Magnoliopsida; Proteales; Proteaceae. The record is from RefSeq and is a predicted model, not a curated record.